Neogale vison (American mink) is the source of this 1069-nucleotide long non-coding RNA. The record is from Ensembl. Lineage: Eukaryota; Metazoa; Chordata; Mammalia; Carnivora; Mustelidae.
UUUUUAAUCCACAUAUUUCAUUGCAGCCUGUAAAUGGAUAAUGUGUAUAGCUGGUGAAUCGAAACAGCACCGUGACCAUGGUAUUUGGAGAAAGAGUUAAGCAUCGGAAGAAUCAAAAAUAUAAAUAAUUGAAAAUGAUUGUCUCUGAAGACUGCUCAGUGGAAAGAAGGGGAGACCUUAAAUCCUCAACCAGAACAGUUGAUGAGAUGGCAGAAUCAAAAACAGAAGUCAGGACAGUGGUGCUAAAGAUGGCAUUAUUUGUUGAAUCCUUCACUUGCUAUAGGUCAGGUAUGGUUUAGAUGUUGGAAGGUUCUAUGUGGCUCCUCUGGUCUUCAAUGGAGCCCCUCGGGGGUUCCCAUUGAUGGAGAAACUGAGACCCAAAGUAGUGAAGUGGCUUUUCUAGACUGUGUGGCAAGUAAGUUCCUGAUUUAUUGAAACCUUAUUGAAGCCUUACAUCAGGGUCAGGCUUAGAGUCUGUAUCCAGUAGCUUUUCAUAUUCUACACAUGCCAUCUUAACAGUAUGAAUAUAAGUAGUGUAUCCUUAUGAAGCAGUAGUCUUGAAAAAAAGUACUCAUAUUGAAAUAUAUAUUGAAUAUAUUUUGAAAUAUAUUAAAAUAUUAAACAGAAAGGGUUUUAUAAGGCUAAAUAUUACAUAAUUCAUAUUACAUGAUUUUGUAGAUUGUAUGAGUGAUAAAAGGCUAAUCAUAAGAGACAAAAAAUAAGUUUGGUGCAUGUCCUUUUUUUUUUUUUGGUAUAACGUCAGCUUAACUGAACGUGUUGUUUUUCAUUGUGGAUAUUAUAUAUUUCACUUUAUAAGAAUCUUGGCCUUGUGAUUCUGUGGCUUUUAUAAAAUAAUUAGAUGACUCAAAGGGCAAAAUGGAGCUUAGACAGACAGAUUCACAGCUUAGACCAUAUGUCUUCCAAGUAGAAUGUCAUAAUAUGUAAUUUUGUCAGGAAACAUCUUCUAGUAAAAUAUCCAAGAGGUAACCUCUUUUCAAAACUUCCGUUUAUGAGUUAUGUGGGCAAGAUUUAAAAUAAACCAUUCAGAAUAUAUAUUGCUCUAUUGCUA